This 3284-nucleotide ribosomal RNA is filed under the name Astyanax mexicanus (Mexican tetra). RNAcentral's name for it is "eukaryotic LSU rRNA". It matches the Rfam family "Eukaryotic large subunit ribosomal RNA", at positions 692 to 3401 of the family's 3401-position model. Lineage: Eukaryota; Metazoa; Chordata; Actinopteri; Characiformes; Acestrorhamphidae. The record is from RNAcentral.
CCAAUGCCUCUAGUUCAUUAGCUUUACCGGAUAAAACUGCUGAGGCGAGCGCCAGCUAUCCUGCCUCUAGUCAUUAGCUUUACCGGAUAAAGCCUCUAGUAUUAGCUUUACCGGAUAAAACUGCUGAAGCGAGCGCCGGCUAUCCUGAGGAAAACUUCGGGAGCGAACCCACUACUAGAUUGUUUCCUCCGAAGUUUCCCUCAGGAUAGCUGGCGCUCCCUCAGCACCUCAGGAUAGCUGGCGCUCGCCUCAGCAGUAGUAGCUGGUUCCCUCCGAAGUUUCCCUUAGGAUAGCUGGCGCUCGCCUUCAGCAGUUUUAUCCGGUUAAAGGCUAAUAUAACUAGAGGCAUUGGGGCCGAAACGAUCUCAACCUAUUCUCCAACCUUUAAAUGGGUAAGGAGGCCCGGCUCGCUGGCUUGGAGCCGGGGAUGGAAUGCGAGUGCCCAGAGUGGGCCCACUUUUGGGUUAAGGCAGAACUGGCGCUGCGGGAUGAACCGAACGCCGGUUAAGGCGCCCGACGCCGACGCUCAUCAGACCCCAUACGCCGACGCUCAUCAGACCCCAUGAAAUGGUUGUGGGUUGAUAUAGACAGCAGGACGGUGGCCAUGGAAGUUGAAUCCGCUAAGGAGUGUGUAAAAACUCACCUGCCGAAUCGCCUAGCCCUGAAAAUGGAUGGCGCUGGAGCGUCGGGCCCAUACCCGGCCUCGCCGGCCAGAGAGAGGGGCUCAGUCCCUUCCCGGGCUUACGCCGCGACGAGUAGGAGGGCCGCCGCGGUGGCGCACAGAAGCCUCGGGCGCGGGCCCGGUGGAGCCGCCGCGGGUGCAGGUCUUGGUGGUAGUAGCAAAUUAUUCAAACGAGAGCUUUGAAGGCCGAAGUUGAAGAAGGGGUCCCAUGUGAACAGCAGUUGAACAUGGGUCAGUCGGUCCUAAGGGAUGGGGCGAACCCCGUUCGGAAGCGGGGGGCGAGGGCCUCCGUCGCCCCCGGCCGAUCGAAAGGGAGUCGGAUUAAGAUCCCCGAAACCGGGAGUGGCGGAGAUAAGCGCCGCGAAGCGCCCAGUGCGGUUAACCGAAAAGAACCUGGAGACGCCAGCGGGGGCACCGGGAAGAGUUUCUUUUCUUUGUGAAUGGCAGGGCUCCCCGGGAUUGGGUUCAACCCGGAGAUAGGGGCCCACGCCCUGGAAAGGCGCCGCGGCUCUGCGGGCGCGGUAAGCUCUCGCUGGCCCUUGAAAAUCCCGGGGAAGAGGGGGUAAGUCUCGCGCCGGGCCGUACCCAAUAUCCGCAGCAGGUCUUCAAGGUGAACAGCCUCUGGCAUGUUGGGGACCAAUUGUAGGUAAGGGGAGGUCGGCAAGGUCAGAUCCGUAACUUCGGGAUAAGGAUUGGCUCUAAGGGCCUGGGUCGGUCCGGCCCGGGGAGGGCGGGGUGGGUCGGGCCAGGGGGCGAGGGGGGGCUGGGCUCGAGCCGGCGACUGGGGGAGCGGCUGCCCCGUGCCCCGUCGUUCCGCCCCUCGUCCGAAAGCCUCGGAGUGCGUCGCGCCCGUCUUCUGUCAUCGUCCGGAGGCCCGGCCGUUUCGGCGGUCGGGUCGCUCGGGCGACGGCGGGGGGGUCCGGGCUCGGCUCUACGCUCCGGGGCCGGUAGGGCGGGGUACGGGCGGGCGGCGGGCCACGGAGCAGUAGCCGUGACUCUGGGCGUGCGCCGGGCUGCUCCGUGGAUCUCCCCCGCCUACGGUGGUGCGUCGGGACCUCCGCGUCCGUCCUCUCCGGUUCGCGCCGGGGGGGGGUCGCGGCGCGCGGGGGAACCCCUCCCGGCGUGACGCCUCGGCCGGCACCUAACAACUGGGUUAGAACUGGUGCGGGCCAGGGGAAUCCGACUGUUUAAUUUAAACCAAAGCAUCGUGAGGGCCUCUGAGGCGGGUGUUGACAAGAUGUGAGUUCUGCCCAGUGCUCUGAAAUUGUUAAAGGUGAAGAAAUUCAAUGAAGGCGCGGGUUAAACGGCGGGAGGUAACUAUGACUCUCUUAUGUAGCCAAUGCCUCGUCCUUCUAAUUAGUGGACGCGCAUGAAUUGAAUGAACGAGAUAUUCCCCUGUCCCUUACCUAAUACACCUAGCGAAACCCACAGCCAAGGGAACGGGCUUGGCCAGAAUCAGCGGGGAAGGAGGACCCUGUUGAGGUUUGACUCUAGUCUGGCACUGUGAGAAGAGACAAGAGGGGUGGAAGAAUAAAGUGGGAGGCCCCGCUCGUCGGGUUGCCGCCAGUGAAAUACCACUACUCUUAUCGUUUCUCACUAACCCGGUGAGGCGGGGAGGCGGGCCCCCGGGGGCUCUCGCUUCCUGGUGGUCUCAAGCGCCCCGGGGGCCCUGAGGGUCUCGGGGCCGCGACCCCGCUCCGGGGAGACAGUGGCAGGGGGGGGGGUUGACUGGGGCGGUACCACCUGUCAAACCGUAAUCGCAGGUGUCCUAAGGCAAGCUCAGGGAGGACAGAAACCCUCCCGUGGAGCAGAAGGGCAAAAGGCUUGCUUGAUCUUGAUUUUCAGUAUGAAUACGGACCCGCGAAAGCGGGGCCUCACGAUCCUUCUGGAUUUUUGGGUGGCUUUUUGGGUUUUAAGCAGGAGGUGUCAGAGAAAGUUACACAGGGAUAACUGGCUUGUGGCGGGCAAAGCGUUCAUAGCGACGGGCCGCUUUUUGAUCCUCGAUGUCGGCCUUCCUAUCAUUGUGAAGCAGAAUUCACAAAGCGUUGGAUUUUCACCCACUAACAGGGAACGUGAGCUGGGUUUAGACCGUCGUGAGCAGGUUAGUUUUACCCUACUGAUAAUGUGUUCGCAAUAGUAAUCCUGCUCAGUACGAGAAGGGGAACUGCAGGUUCAGACUCUGGUGCAUGUGCUUGGCUGAGGAGCCAAUGGUGCGAACCUACCAUCUGUGGGAUUAUGACUGAACUCCUCUAAGUCAGAAUCCCGCCUAGACGGAACGAUAUCCGCAGUGCCGAGGACCUACGGUUGGUCAGGCGUAGCCGGGGUGGUCCCUCCCCUGUGAGCAGAGCCGCUCGCUAACGUUCUCGGGGUGCGGCCGACUCGCUAACGGUCUCGGGGUGCGGCCGAAAGUAACGGUCUCGGGGUGCGGCCGAAAGAAUGCCGCGCCCCACCCCGGAAAACGCGUUCACCGCAUGUUUGUGGUUCACGGCGUGAAAUGACUCGUAGACGACCUGAUUCAAUGUCAGGGUUUCGUAAGUGGCAGAGCAGCACCGCGCUGCGAUCCAUUAAGAAUCAUCCCUGUACUCAAACUUUUGUCCAUUUG